AUGAACACAUUUUACAAAGCAUAGUAAGGUAGAAUAUUCUGUUGUGGAUUCCACUGGGGCUUUUUCCAGAUAUUCUAAGAUCCUUUUCACUGGUCCUGUGUGCCCCUUGCCUUAGUUUCUGUUUUUUUGGGUGCAGUGUGAACUACUGCCUUCUUCCUAGGCUGACCCUUGGUCUAGUGGAACUGCUUUGCUCAUACAGCAAGCAGACCUCUAGAAGUACCUGGGGAUUUAUGUCCUGGCACGGCCUAUAGAUUAUGACUGACUUAUGUGGUAUAUAAAAGCUUAACUUUCUUGUUUCCAGGUGGACUGGAGACUUUGGUAUCAUUCAUCCUCCAAAGGAUGGAGCUGAGGCUGGAACGUUGCCUGCAAACACCACCUUGUCCUUGUUCCCUGUUCUGGUUGCUCCAUUCCUUUACUAUUUUUUUCUUGGAAACUCUUCUUUAGUAAGUCACAUGCACAAGAAUUCUUGCCUCAGGCUCUGCUUCUGAAGAACCUAACUUAUGACAUUUGAUAAAAUAUUACAGUAAGAGAGCUACAGAAUGGAAAUAUUAUAGAAACACAGACUCUACUUACUUUUUUAAAAAUUUUGUUCUAAUGUGCUAUACAUAAUGGCAGAGUGCAAUUCAUUUCAUAUUACACAUACAGAGCACAAAAUUUUUCAAGACACUGAUUGAACACAAAGUAUUUUCACUCCAUUUGUGUCUCAUACAUGUACUUAGGGUAAUGAGUCUAACUCAUUCCACCAUCAUUCCUACCCUCUUUCCCCUCUCUCCCCUUUGCCCUAUCUAAAGUUCCUCCAUUCCUCCCAUGCUACCCUCCAAUUGCCAAUAUGAGUCAGCAUCCUCAUAUGAAAGAAAAUGUUUGGCCUUUGGUUUUUGGGAUUGGCUUGCUUCACUUAGCAUUAUAUUUUCCAACUUAAUCCAUUUACCUGCAAAUGUCAUGAUUUUAUUCUCUUUUAAUGCUGGGUAAUGUUCCAUUGUGUAUAUAUAUACCAAAGUUUCCCUGUCUAUUCAUCUACCGAAGGGCAUCUAGGUUGGUUCCAUAAUUUAGCUAUUGUGAAUUGUGCUGCUAUUAAACAUUGAUAUGACUGUGGAUAUGGCUGUGUCUCUGUAAUAUGCUGUUUUUACAUCCUUUUGGUAUACACUGAGGAGUGGGAUAGCUAGGUCAAAUGGUAAAUUUAAUGAAAGAGGUGAAAUGAAAACUAUAACACACUAAAAAAAGAAAUUAAAGAAGACCUUAGAAG
This 1243-nucleotide long non-coding RNA is filed under the name Marmota monax (woodchuck). Lineage: Eukaryota; Metazoa; Chordata; Mammalia; Rodentia; Sciuridae. The record is from RNAcentral.